GAAAAGCAACAAUUGACUCUUUCCGUUUAUCCUCUUCUGCUCUGGCUCGUUCAACAAGCUUUUUCAGAGCCCUUCUUUCUCUAAGAGCAGCUCUGGAAGAAGUUAUACCGAGUUUUGAGGCAGCUUGGUGAAAAGACUCAAGUUCAUUGUUGUCACUACCAUUGAAUUUUCUUCCCUGCUGAAGCAAUGUAAUUAUCUCAUCACCAAUUUGCUUCUCCGCCAGAUCAAGUGAGAACUCAAUCCCUUGAAGUUCAUUCAGAACUUCAGAGAUCUGACAGCCAAUACUUUGUGGUACUAUAUCUUCAACACGCUUUAGACUAUCUUCAAGAGCACAUCUUGCUCUCUCAAAUUUCAGAACUAUAGAGUCACCUGUUAUGGCCAGGUAAAGUUUACUGCAUUCAGCACAAUGUUGAAGAACAGUCUUUGUUUUCUCAAGGGCUAUAUGCAAAGCACACAAUGCUUGAAUACCAGAUGUGCUUCUUGGUCUUGCAGCUUCUAGUUCAGGAAAUAUUCCCAGCACUUUUGCAUAUACAGCCGAUAAGCUCUUGCACAUUCCUCCAUGUAACUUAGGCUCACCGAUAGAUAACAAGUUCUCCUCAACCUCACUAUUCUCCAUCAUCAACAUCGAAUAGAAUAUUCAACUUCCUCAAUCAGCAGUAUAAAAAAAACAACCAAGGAGGCUUCAUGAAAAACUGCUGAAAUUAAUCCUAACAAUA
Molecule: unclassified non-coding RNA, 716 nt
Filed under: Hevea brasiliensis (rubber tree)
Lineage: Eukaryota; Viridiplantae; Streptophyta; Magnoliopsida; Malpighiales; Euphorbiaceae
Source: RNAcentral